Molecule: ribosomal RNA, 253 nt
Filed under: uncultured bacterium
Lineage: Bacteria
Description: partial 16S ribosomal RNA
Rfam family: Bacterial small subunit ribosomal RNA
Source: RNAcentral
UACGAAGGGUGCAAGCGUUGUUCGGAAUUAUUGGGCGUAAAGCGCGUGUAGGCGGGCCUUUAUGUCAGGUGUGAAAUCUCGGAGCUCAACUUCGAAACUGCGCCUGAAACUGGAGGUCUAGAAUUCUAGCGGGGAGAGGGGAAUUUCUCAUGUAGAGGUAAAAUCCGUAGAUAUGAGAAGGAACACCUGAGGCGAAAGCGCCUCUCUGGAUAGAUAUUGACGCUAAUACGCGAAAGCGUGGGGAGCAAACAGG